Long non-coding RNA from Penaeus vannamei (Pacific white shrimp), 686 nucleotides. RefSeq lists it as uncharacterized. NCBI's taxonomy places the organism in Eukaryota, Metazoa, Arthropoda, Malacostraca, Decapoda, Penaeidae. The record is from RefSeq and is a predicted model, not a curated record.
AACUCGAACGCAACUCUCGGUCACUCCCUCGCUGCUGCUGGAAGAGGAUGGUUGUCUCUGCCGUUCUUCCCUCGUUUAUCGUGUUUUUAUGGGUAUAUCGGUUGAUGCCGACGUAACCCGGUCUUGUUCAUCCUCCAAAAUGAGGAGAUUGGUCCUGUUGGAGUUCCGAGUUUUUGGAUGGAGCUAGUGUGGUUCCUGUGCUAUCAACAUGACGUGCAGAAGAGGCGAGGAGUUUCCUCUAGGAAAUGGUUAUCCUGAUUUCAAUGUCCAACUUUUGGAAGGAUACUCAAUUUGGCAUUGGGUUUCCUGUCAGAUGUUGGUCAGUGAAUGUGAAAGUGGUUUGAAGAUACGAUGAAAGGAAAUGUGCAAGCGGAAUUGGUAUAUUAAAAUUUCACAAGGAUGCUGGUGAUAUUUCAAGGCUACCAAUUUGACUAAAUUGCAAGGUGUCAGGGCUUGUCAUAUUGGAGAGCAUGACUCGUGAAGAUAGAAAGUUUAAAUUUGCUUUGGUAUUUGGAGUUCACUGAUGGUAUUGGCCAGGGACUGAAAAGGGAGGAAAGAUGUAUUGAAAGAAAUUAAGCAGGCGAGAGUUGGUAUUCGAUCUAUACCGUCAUGACUGUGCCACAAGGGUGGUUCCAGAAGUAACCAUGAAGUUGCCGCCAGUGCUCACAAAUAAACAUGAUUGACCA